GUGAGGGUACAGGCAGGUCCCGGGGCAGGAGUGCUGACUCAGCCCAGGAUGAGACUUGGUAUGUCGUCCCACCUUGAAUUUCUAAAGUGAUGAAAAUACACCCAAGACUGCUGGACGGAGGAACAUUUUAAGCAUGCCUACAGCAACCAAGGCCGUACCAGGAGUGGGUGCUUCCAGCUGAAUAAGCCCUAGAUGCUGUUCCAGGUGCCGGGAAGACUCCCCAGCCAGCUGUUGCGUUGAUGAGCAUUUA
This is a long non-coding RNA of Manis pentadactyla (Chinese pangolin), 250 nucleotides long. RefSeq lists it as uncharacterized. The transcript is spliced from 3 exons. The record is from RefSeq and is a predicted model, not a curated record. NCBI's taxonomy places the organism in Eukaryota, Metazoa, Chordata, Mammalia, Pholidota, Manidae.